GGGUGGUUGGCAUAUUCAUUUCAGAAGCACAGUCCUAAUCUAAAUGCAAAUGCUAGAAGUGACUUGUCUGAAACAUCACAGAAAUCAAGGUGUUUUUUGCUUGCUGACACACAUCUGCAAAAAGGAUGUUAAGCAGCACCAAUAUCUUCAGGAUUUUUGGUCACUACUUUAUUAAUUUAACGAUGGAGAAGGGGCAUCCUUAAGCUCGUUCCCCUCACAGGAGGUAUCUCACUGGAUUUUGUGUGCAAUUAAAUGGCUCCCUAGCAGAACACCAACAGCUCAAAGCUGACCUUCAGCUUCCCCCCAGAGCUGUCCAUCCCUGAACUUCUUCCUC
Molecule: long non-coding RNA, 334 nt
Organism: Poecile atricapillus (Black-capped chickadee)
Lineage: Eukaryota; Metazoa; Chordata; Aves; Passeriformes; Paridae
Exons: 3
Source: RefSeq, a predicted model, not a curated record